Anopheles stephensi (Asian malaria mosquito) is the source of this 8349-nucleotide RNA transcript. It is a transcript of the gene named capping protein inhibiting regulator of actin dynamics, with no coding region annotated. NCBI's taxonomy places the organism in Eukaryota, Metazoa, Arthropoda, Insecta, Diptera, Culicidae. The record is from RefSeq and is a predicted model, not a curated record. The transcript is spliced from 15 exons.
CGUACGCGCGGUUGUGGUUGCUCGUGUUGUCAUGCUGUAGGUAGAGCUCGGUCACGUUCGUGCGUGUGUUUAUCGUCUGCCAGUUUUUUUUUGUGUGCCCGGGGAUGUCAACCUGUUGUCAGUUUUGUUUCACUUGCAUGCGAAGAAAAUGAUCGAUAGUUGAAGAAACUAGGCAGCUUGUUCGGGAUAGUGCUUACCUAAUGAUGUAUCGUACCGUGUAGCUGAUAGUUUAAUGUCUGUGAUAAGGAAAACGUUUGAGAUUUCAGCUGUGCAAACAGACCUUCCUGCUGCUGUGAUGGUGUUAUAGUGUGAUAUAGUGUUUUGUUCUCGUGUCGCUCGUGAUACGGAUUACAGCAGAAGAAGCUUCCUCGACGACGUCCUUACCGUGGACGCAUGCUCUCAACGGUUUUGGGGCGCCCCGUAAAGGAAGAGUUCAGUGAAAGCAUAGAGGGUGCGUUAGUAUGAUUGGUCUUCGAUAAGAUAAACCGAUAAGUCGUGGCGCCGCCCCCUGGACUGCCAGAGCUAUGAUAUCAGUGAAACGUCCGAGUGUUUCAAGCCACCCUAGUGCUCACCAUCAUCAUCAUCACCAUCAUCAACCACAUCACCACCAUCAUCACCACAAGCAGCACCACCAGCUCCACAGUCUCCAGAACGGAGCAUCCAGUGCCGGUUCGGUUACCUCGGCAUCCUUGGUAACGACGACUUCGGCCAACAACAAUCGUCUCAUUCGAAGUCGAAAUCAAUUAUCCACCGGUAGCGAGCAGCAGCAGGACGGAAAGCAUCAGCCCCAAACCCAUUGGAAUCCACAAGCAGGUGGAGGAGGGUUCGUGUCCAAUGGUGGUCUAGGGAUUGGUACGUUCGGUGGCGUUGCCGGUGGACAGGUGAAUCGUCCCACCGGGGCAGCGUCGUGGACCGGAACGGGAAGUGGAUGUUCGAUCAUUACGAACGGUGGCAGUCUGUACUAUAGCAGCAGCAAUGGUGGCUACGGUGUGAGCACGGCCACCGUAAAUCCCAAGAUACGGGACAUCUACGAGUUUGACAGUUUGUUCUUGCUGCCAGCGUGUGCCUUAACGUCGGACAAGGCGCUAAACCUUCGCAAGGAUCUUGCCGCGUACGAUUUCGACAUCAAAAUCCUGGAGGACAGUCCACGGGGAUCUCAUAACGUUUGGCAAUCUGGAAACAGAGAUGCGACCGUACAAAAACAGUCAAGGCCGUCUUCAGCCAAUAGAGACCGUCUGCAUGAACAGUCCGUUGCGCAUACUCUUCAUUGGUUUGCUUGCGUCGGCGAAGAUAGCGUCGAUAACGGUAGAAACGCAGAAGAAUUGCAAAAGGAACGUGAGGAACGAAUAAAACAGAUGAAGGAACGACAGAACGAGGAACGCCAGAAGAAGCUCGAGGAGCUGAAGGCACAAGCACUGGCGGCACAAAAGUUCCGCGAGCAGAAGGAGGAAGAACGACGCCGCCGAAUGGAUGACCUGCGGAGGCGGGAAAGCGAUCGACGGUCACAGGUCGAGGAGCGACGCCGCGCCAUCGUCGAGGCCGAUAACGAGCGGCGGGAGUACAUACUGCGCAAGAACCAGGAGCGCGAACAGCGCAUGGAGACGAAACGACGCAAUGAUCGAGGCUCGAUCCAGUUCGCUUUCGGUUCGUCGACGCCACGGAUGAUCGAUACCAGUGACAGUGGCAUGUGCAGCUCGUUCUGGGCUCAUAGGAGAGCCACAUCCAUUACGAACGUAGCAUAUACAGGGGCGGCAUUGACGAGGCGUAGCUCCGAGCGUGAACUAACCGACAGUGCGUCGAAGAAACGAGCUACCUCCGCCAGUGGUCUCGACCGAUCGACCGACGACCAACGGCGAAUGUCCAGCUCGAUGUACGAGGUGUUCAACUGGACGAGCACCAGCGAGUGUCCGAGAAAGCUAACGUUCUCGCUGGCCGCCGGUCCCGGCAUCAACAUCGACGAUCCACCGACGGCCGCCGAAUAUCAACCGGCCGCGGCGCGCAAUUACGCGAGCGGAAAGGACGAUACAGCAGAAAUGAACUAUCAGCGCACUGUCAAUCGUCGAAAGACCGAUCUAAUGCCUACCAUUCCUAGUCCUCGUGAUAGCUCUAGAUCGUCUCUCGGUACACACACUCCCAGAACACCAGGCCGAGCGUUUUCGAUGACACGCUUGGAUCAGCUGGCGCAACCUCGACGACGCAACGGUGAGCACAUCAGCGCCAUACUGGAACGCGAACGACGCCAAGCGCUGGAGCUUGAGAACCUGACCCGACUGUCACUCUCCUCAUCGCGGUCGUCGCCGACCGGCAGCGGUGGCAACAGCAAGCGCAUGUCGCGCAGCAUGUCCCAGCUGGCCGGCAGUGGGGCCAAGUAUCGGAACCAAUCGCAGGACUCUAACUCGGGCCGCAGUCCCGGCUUUGGCGGUGGACGCAAAUCAUCGUUCCAUUCGUCGUCCAUGAACAGUGGCAGCACUUCGCCCAUGCGUCGCAACGACACCUCCAAGAGUAUGUCCCAGCUGAACACGGUUGGCGGCACGGCCCGCAUCACCAAAACCGAGCGACUCCGGCAGCAGUACCACCAUCAGCAACAGCAGCAGCUUCAGAGUCAGCUUCUGGUGACGAACGGUCUCCGUUCCGGCGAAAUGACGCCUACCAGUCUGAACACUUCGCGGCCCGGAAGUGCAAUGUCCAGCUCGACGACCGCGUCCGGUAUCGUGUAUCGACGAACCCUGCCAGCACAACGUAAACCACGACCGGCCAGUAUCGCCGUUACGGGCGUUACGGCCUCUGGUUUGAAGGAAGAUAAGCCUCCACUCCCAAAGACAGGAUCCGGUGCGUCGACCGGCAGCGGCGUUACAAGCGCGAGCAGCAAACAUCGCUUGUCGAGCGCUGGGUCCGGCAGCAUCAACACGACCCCUGCAAAAUCAGCGUCCGGCAUGGAAACGCCAACGAAAAAACCGCUGUCGAUACACUCGGCGGAGAAACGGUCCGCAAGCGUGCGAGGCAGCACACCGAAAGCAUCCUCGACGCCGCUACAAUCUCCCGGGCCGGAGAAAGCAUCACGCAGCUUGCAGGAUUCGUUGAAGAAGGCGGCGGACGGUGGUGGUAAGAAGGCGCCAGCCAGCAGCGAAAAGCCCGCGACAACAAAGACCGCGACAGUUCCAAAGGAAGAGGUAGUUGCGGUGGAAGCAAAGCCGGAUGCACCAGCUGCUCCGAAGGCGGAAGAACAGGUCGUCGAACCGGAAAAGGUUGUGGUGCGAGAUGAAUCUUCACAGCAAGCUUCAUUGGUAGAGGUGGAUCAAUCAUCAUUCGGACAGGAGGAACAACCUCAGCAGCAGCAGGAGGAAGUAGUGGUCCCCGUACAGCAAGAAGCUCCGGCACCGGCGCUACCGACAGAGAGCUCUGAGGUACCGCAGCAGGUAGAAGUUGCGCCAGUUAAGGUGGUACCAACACCGGUGGUGGAGCAGGUCGUAGCGGAACCACAAGACGUCAGCGAACCCAAGAUGCUCCCGGAGGAGGAAACGGUCGAGGUCAUCAACGGCGGACUGACCGUUGAUGUGGCCGGUGGUGCCGCCGAUGCAAUGACCGCUUCUAUGAUCGCCAAGCGCAUCACUACCGAGGAGGAAGCAAAGGCUGCCCUGGCCGAACGUCGUCGUCUAGCACGCGAAGAAGCCGAACGGCAGGCCGAACUGGAGCGCAAGCGCAUCGAGGCCGAAGAGCAGGCCGAACGGCAGCGUGUGCUGGAAGAGGAGGAACGCUUGCGCAAGCUUGAGGAGGAAACGAUCCGGCUGGCCGAGGAGCAGCGCCGCAUGGAGGAGGAACGGCUACAGCAGGCCAUCGAGGAAGCACGCCGACGGGACGAAGAGGAACGCAAGCGUCGCGAGGAGGAAGCCCGGCAAAAGGCCGAACGGGAGGAGGCGGAGCGGAAGGCGCGCGAGGAAGCGGAACGGCAGCGCGUCGAGAUGGCCGAGCGGCUGAAGAAGGAGGAGAAGGAACGCGAGGAACGCCGGAAGCGCGUUGAAGCAAUCAUGUCCCGCACCAGAGCAAAGGGAACGGCCAACAGUACGCCGACCAAGAAUAACGAAGACGACAAGGAAAAUGCCAUGUCCAAGAGUCAGAUUGUACUUUCGUCCACGCCGGCUGCCCUACCUACCGGUACUGCCAUGUCCGCAUCUACCAUAUCGAUGACCGAUUCGUUUAUUGCGUCCGAAAUUCGGCAAGAGCAGGCCCAGCAGCAGCAGCAGCAGCAGCAGCAGCACCAGUCACUAGAACAGGCCAUGGAGUCGCUGUCGCUGAGCAACAACAAUAACAACAAUGGCAACAGCAGCAAUAGCAGUAGUAGCAGCGAAACCCUAGCCCAUAGUAGCACCAUUAACAACACCAUCAACAACAACAACAACAACAACGGUGGCAGCAACAUUCAGUUCGAAAAGUCCGUGGCGGAGAAGGAAAGCCUGCUACUGCUUGCGAGCAGUACCGCCGCCGGCGUGACCCUGGUGGCGAACAACAAUCUCAACAACGGUAGCACCAGCAACGGUACCGGCGGGGCGGUGGUCGGAUCGGAAGCCACGAACGGUGACUCGAUCGUACCGACGACGAACGGCAAGACGGAACAGCAGUCGCCAGCGAUGAUGGCGAGCAGCAAUGGCAGCAGUGCCACAGCCAACAGCACCUCGGACCUAAUCAUCGAGGAUGCGCUGAUGGGCCAAACCAACGGACACAAGAACGGCACCAUGGACAAUGUGUUAUUUACACGCGUUUCCGACAUCUGAUUGUAAUAAAGGUGGAAGGAAACCGCCCGUACCUAGCAAACCGCCGAGAUGAUUAUAGCCACACACACACAAAGUUUCCCUUUUAACUUGAGCCCCCUACCAACUACCAUCUAUAUGUAAUUUUGGGUUGUGACCCGUGAUCACACAGUACCGCGCGGGAAUAAGAAAUGAAAUCCUUCCAAUGGAAUGGAAUCCAGAUCGAUGAGCAAGAAGAAGUGCUGUGAAUGAUACACUGAAGCCCCAGACUACCGGUCCGAUGGGAUUGAACGAUUUCCACAUCCCGACAAAUGGUGAUCAUCACCGGCAUCGCGAUGACAGCCGCCUUCCUUCCCUAGCUGACCCAAACGCCGAACCCUCGGCCGAACAGCAACACUCGUCGUUCGAAUCGUCCGGCACGGCCUCCACUGUGGUGACGACCGAAACUACCAUCGUAUCGGCGGACGAUGCUGCCGCCAACAGCUGCUCCAAUGCUGAUCCGUUGAUCGAUUUCGCUAGCUUUUCUACCAGUGAGGUCAGUCAGCCGGGUCUGGUCGAACUUGCCGGCGCUGGAAGCGAUGCCAACUUCAAUCCACUCGCUCCCCUUGAUGUGCAUAACAACGACAACAACAAUAGUAUUAACCCGUUCUUCUCGAGCAACUACGAUGGUGAUGCUGCAUCUGGCGAUCACCGUGCGACGGAAGCGAUCCUCUUUGAUCUAACCCUCGAUAACACCAGCAACGGUGGUGGCACUACCAACACUAGUAGCAGUCCCUUUUUUACCAACAACAACAACAAUACCAAUACAUCACCCCCCAACAACAACAACAACAACAGCACCCCGUCGUCGUGGCUAGUCUCGGCGACAUCCGACGGUCAAGAGAAUCGAGACUUGUCGCUCUUGUGAACGAGUAAAAGGUGUGUAGGAAAAACGGGGAAAGAAGUAAAACAUGAAAUCAUUGUAUUGAUCCGUGGCACCGAUCCGGCACCAGCAAGAUGCAGUAGUUGCAGUAGUACGAGCGCUCGAUCGUCUGGAUAAAGCAGCAGCAGCAUCGGCGCCCCUCUCUAUACGCGAAGGAUGUGUGUGCGUGUGUGCGUGUGUGUGUGAACACUUACCGGCUUAAACGGUCGUUCGAAAUGUGCAACUGUGUUUUACCAAAUAGUCAAACAUAGCUAAUAUAUGGCGCGAAACAGGCGAACGAUUGGGGAAAGCUUACCGUCACGACACUCUAGGUUUCGCUGUAGGAUAGGUAGGAAACGAAGGUUAUUAGAAGAGAAAACACAGAAAUCAAAAUCAGAGUGUGAAAGGCCGGCAGGUAGAACAAACAACUGACUGACGGAGAAAAAUCGCCGGCAUGGAAGGGCGCGUCCUCCUGCUACUCUCCGCUAGUUGUUAGCAGCUAAGUGAAAGCUGGUGCAAUAGGGUUAUAUUUCUUAUCCCGCAUACACAUAACCUAUAUACAGUUGUGUUAAUCUGUGUAAAGUGUACCUCCCUUUUACCACGGUUACUUGUGUUUCGUAGAGACAUUCAUUUCGGUUGUUCUUGGCACCCAACCAACCACGUUGGCAAUAGCAAAGAAUGGGUACAUGGGGUAGUUCUCUUUUCCUGUGCGCCUUAGCGAAUGGUUUUAGCAAGCCGUUUUUGGUGUCUUUUAAACGUUCAACCAACUUACCUUGCGUGUGCGUAUGUUCCAUUUCCGUUGAAAUGUGCAAACUAUAGUAACUCAGCCCUCCCCCUCCCAUCAAAAAAGAGCAAGAAAAACAGUAAUUGUGUAUUAUAAUUUAUUGUACAACCGCGGGUGUAUGUGUAUUAGAUCCGUUAGACGACUUCCGGUUAUUUUGUUUGUCGCUGGUGAUGGUGUGGUGGUGGUGUGCUCACAAGCCCGCACCUCCCAAGCACAUUCAUCUGCUAGAGCGGAUUCAUAGUCUUAACCCGUCUUUUCUUACCUUACGCGCCUUCUAUAUUAAUUUUUAUGCUACAAGUGCUACAACUACAACAAGUGUGUGUGUAUAGGAGAGAGUAUGUAUGUGUGUAACUCGAAUCGAACGUGAAUCGAUUGGAGACGUAUAGGUGUUAGUGAUUUGAACUGCAAAACAUGUGCAAAAGGCAAAAUAAAAGCAUAACAUUCAAACGUUACAAAAGACUUUAACAUGAGUACAUUCUUGGAAGAAUUAAAACAUACUUGGGAGGAGGAGGAAACCGGGGAAACAUUAACAACAGCCGUGCAGCGGAGAUAGAAUAAUGGACAGGACAUCAAAUGUGCUUUCGCAAAACUACUAAACGAGCUAAUCAAAUUGGAGAGGAGAGGAAAAAAACACAAACGGUUUGCUAAAUCUCCCAUCGUCCGGUGCUAGGAUUGAUAGGAGCUGUAAAAAAAGAGAUAGCGCUUGUGUAGAGCAGGACAUCAUCUCUAAGGAGGCCACGCUCUACUACCUAUCUAUACCGUUUUCAUUGAUUAUUGAUUAAUAACUAUUCAAACCGCACACACGUACACAAGCGCAGUUCCAGGAUCACAUGGUGAGGCGGAUGACCGGUAGUUAUACUAGUAACACACUCACACACACACACAUACAUAUACACGCAGCUUUGUUCUCGGCUUGGCAUAGAACUUGCUAUUGCGCACGUAUAAAACACUCACGACGUCACACACACACACACACACACAUACAAGGAAAUGAGGGCUUAAAGUGCUGCGGAUUGAUUUAUUUAGGAAGCGGAACGAAUGGGAAUGCGCGUUGUGCGGUGGUGUAUUUGUUGGCCGGUUUUUGGAAUGUGUGAGAGAGAGAGAGAGAGAGAGAGAACGUGAGAUAAUCCUAGUAUUCUAAUACUGUUAAAUUAUGAUGUAUAAAAAACACACACACACACACUGAAACAACAAAAACACACACAAAUUGUGAAGGUGGUGUUGUGGUGGUGUAUUUUGGCAAACACACUUACACACGCGCGCAGAGCACAGGCAGAGGAAGACAUAACCCAAUACAUUCACAAAAAGUUGCCUGUAACGAUGGCGACGGUGCACACAGUUCACACUACCCACACACCGCAAGCAUACGGUCUAGUUUAAAACUAAUACUACGAGUAAAUGUGUUAAUUUAUGUGUACCACCAUCACCACCACUACCACCACUACCACCAAGAGAGGACUUUGAUUCUCUCUGUCUCUCCGCUCUUUUUAACUCUGGCUUUCAGAGUAAAGGAGCGCGAGUGUGUGCGUGUGGUGGUGCAGCAAAGACGGAGUUUUCUUCCUUCUUCUUUCUUUUAACAACAACAAAACAGCGCCAGCACGUUAAGCAAAAGUCACGUAAAACAGAACGGAGCUGAUAAAUGGUAGGUGAGAAAAAAAAAAACACGUGAAAAAGAAUGUUAAAUAGGAUAAUAUAACAGUAGCAGCAGGAAGAAGAAGCACGACACACGAGAAAACGUGAAAGAGAGAGAGAGAGAGAGAGAGAGAGAGAGAGAGAGAGAGAUAAGGAAAAAGAGAAAGGAAGAGUUAAAUUAUUCAACUGUAUGAUGUUUUCCAAAUGAUAAUGCGUUUUUUUUUCAUUUCGUUCUUCUCUUUAUCUUAUUCUUUUUUGCAAUAAAACCAGAAGAAUAGUAACAUUGA